GACGAACGCUGGCGGCGUGCUUAACACAUGCAAGUCGAACGGACAGGCCCUGCUUUUGUGGGUUGCUCGAGUGGCGAACGGGUGAGUAACACGUGAGUAACCUGCCCUUGACUUUGGGAUAACUUCACGAAACUCGGGCUCAUACCGGAUAGGAGCUCCUGCUGCAUGGUGGGCGUUGGAAAGUUUCGGCGGUUGGGGAUGGACUCGCGGCUUAUCCGCUUGUUGGUGGGGUAGUGGCUUACCAAGGCUUUGACGGGUAGCCGGCCUGAGAGGGUGACCGGCCACAUUGGGACUGAGAUACGGCCCAGACUCCUACGGGAGGCAGUAGUGGGGAAUAUUGCACAAUGGGCGGAAGCCUGAUGCAGCAACGCCGCGUGCGGGAUGACGGCCUUCGGGUUGUAAACCGAUUUCGCCUGUGACGAAGCGUGAGUGACGGUAAUGGGUAAAGAAGCACCGGCUAACUACGUG
RNAcentral lists this ribosomal RNA (468 nucleotides) under uncultured bacterium. Its description in RNAcentral is "partial 16S ribosomal RNA". It matches the Rfam family "Bacterial small subunit ribosomal RNA", at positions 28 to 507 of the family's 1533-position model. The record is from RNAcentral.